This 69-nucleotide ribosomal RNA is filed under the name Conus gloriamaris. Its description in RNAcentral is "partial 28S ribosomal RNA". It matches the Rfam family "Eukaryotic large subunit ribosomal RNA", at positions 1 to 66 of the family's 3401-position model. The record is from RNAcentral. Lineage: Eukaryota; Metazoa; Mollusca; Gastropoda; Neogastropoda; Conidae. RNAcentral also lists the same sequence under 1 other name.
UUCCGACCUCAGAUCGGACGAGAUUACCCGCUGAAUUUAAGCAUAUCACUAAGCGGAGGAAAAGAAACU